This 471-nucleotide ribosomal RNA is filed under the name uncultured bacterium. Its description in RNAcentral is "partial 16S ribosomal RNA". It matches the Rfam family "Bacterial small subunit ribosomal RNA", at positions 28 to 507 of the family's 1533-position model. The record is from RNAcentral.
GACGAACGCUGGCGGCGUGCUUAACACAUGCAAGUCGAACGAUUAAGCCUAGCUUGCUAGGUGGAUUAGUGUCGAACGGGUGAGUAAUACGUGAGUAACCUCCCUUUAACUCUGUGAUAAGCCUUGGAAACUGGGUCUAAUACCGGAUACGACCAAUCUCCCCAUGGGGUGUUGGUGGAAAGCUUUAUGUGGUGGUUAUAGAUGGGCUCACGGCCUAUCAGCUUGUUGGUGAGGUAACGGCUCACCAAGGCGACGACGGGUAGCCGGCCUGAGAGGGUGACCGGCCACACUGGGACUGAGACACGGCCCAGACUCCUACGGGAGGCAGCAGUGGGGAAUAUUGCACAAUGGGCGCAAGCCUGAUGCAGCGACGCCGCGUGAGGGAUGACGGCCUUCGGGUUGUAAACCUCUGUUAGCAGGGAAGAAGAGAAAUUGACGGUACCUGCAGAGAAAGCGCCGGCUAACUACGUG